RNAcentral lists this ribosomal RNA (253 nucleotides) under uncultured bacterium. RNAcentral's name for it is "partial 16S ribosomal RNA". It matches the Rfam family "Bacterial small subunit ribosomal RNA", at positions 524 to 776 of the family's 1533-position model. The record is from RNAcentral.
UACGUAGGUGGCAAGCGUUGUCCGGAUUUACUGGGCGUAAAGAGCGCGCAGGCGGUCGUUCAAGUCGCGUGUGAAAGCCCCCGGCUCAACUGGGGAGGGUCACGCGAUACUGAUCGACUCGAAGGCAGGAGAGGGAAGUGGAAUUCCCGGUGUAGUGGUGAAAUGCGUAGAGAUCCGGAGGAACACCGAAAGCGAAGGCAGUGUCCUGGCUGGUGACUGACGCUGAGGCACGAAGGCCAGGGGAGCAAACGGG